This 521-nucleotide ribosomal RNA is filed under the name Galaxias truttaceus (spotted mountain trout). RNAcentral's name for it is "partial 16S ribosomal RNA". It matches the Rfam family "Bacterial large subunit ribosomal RNA", at positions 1854 to 2571 of the family's 2925-position model. The record is from RNAcentral. Lineage: Eukaryota; Metazoa; Chordata; Actinopteri; Galaxiiformes; Galaxiidae.
CCCGCCUGCCCUGUGACUAUAUGUUUAACGGCCGCGGUAUUUUGACCGUGCAAAGGUAGCGCAAUCACUUGUCUUUUAAAUGGAGACCUGUAUGAAUGGCAAGACGAGGGCUAAGCUGUCUCCUUUUCCAAGUCAGUGAAAUUGAUCUCCCCGUGCAGAAGCGGGGAUAUUCUCAUAAGAGCAGAAGACCCUAUGGAGCUUUAGACACAAGGCAGCCCACGUUAAACAGCCUCUCUUAAGGGUAUAAACUUAGUGGCGCCUCGCCCAAUUGUCUUCGGUUGGGGCGACCGCGGGGGAAAGACUAGCCCCCAUGUGGAAUGGGGGUACAUACUCCCUGCAGCCGAGAAAAACUUUUCUAAGCAACAGAAAUUCUGACCAAAAAUGAUCCGGCAAGGCCGAUCAACGGACCCAGUUACCCUAGGGAUAACAGCGCAAUCCUCUCCCAGAGUCCCUAUCGACGAGUGGGUUUACGACCUCGAUGUUGGAUCAGGACAUCCUAAUGGUGCAGCCGCUAUUAAGGG